Molecule: ribosomal RNA, 816 nt
Filed under: uncultured bacterium
Lineage: Bacteria
Description: bacterial SSU rRNA
Rfam family: Bacterial small subunit ribosomal RNA
Source: RNAcentral
AGAGUGUGAUUCUGGCUCAGGAUGAACGCUGGCGGCAUGCCUAAUACAUGCAAGUCGAACGAAGUCUUUAGGAAGCUUGCUUCCAAAGAGACUUAGUGGCGAACGGGUGAGUAACACGUAGGUAACCUGCCCAUGUGCCCGGGAUAACUGCUGGAAACGGUAGCUAAAACCGGAUAGGUAUGAGGGAGGCAUCUUCCUCAUAUUAAAGCACCUUCGGGUGUGAACAUGGAUGGACCUGCGGCGCAUUAGCUGGUUGGUGAGGUAACGGCCCACCAAGGCGAUGAUGCGUAGCCGACCUGAGAGGGUGAACGGCCACAUUGGGACUGAGACACGGCCCAAACUCCUACGGGAGGCAGCAGUAGGGAAUUUUCGUCAAUGGGGGGAACCCUGAACGAGCAAUGCCGCGUGUGUGAAGAAGGUCUUCGGAUCGUAAAGCACUGUUGUAAGUGAAGAAUGCCAUAUAGAGGAAAUGCUAUGUGGGUGACGGUAGCUUACCAGAAAGCCACGGCUAACUACGUGCCAGCAGCCGCGGUAAUACGUAGGUGGCAAGCGUUAUCCGGAAUCAUUGGGCGUAAAGGGUGCGUAGGUGGCACGAUAAGUCUGAAGUAAAAGGCAACAGCUCAACUGUUGUAUGCUUUGGAAACUGUCGAGCUAGAGUGCAGAAGAGGGCGAUGGAAUUCCAUGUGUAGCGGUAAAAUGCGUAGAUAUAUGGAGGAACACCAGUGGCGAAGGCGGUCGCCUGGUCUGUAACUGACACUGAUGCACGAAAGCGUGGGGAGCAAAUAGGAUUAGAUACCCUAGUAGUCCACGCCGUAA